Daldinia grandis is the source of this 101-nucleotide non-coding RNA. Lineage: Eukaryota; Fungi; Ascomycota; Sordariomycetes; Xylariales; Hypoxylaceae. The record is from the annotation of a GenBank genome assembly.
GGGCGUGUAACUCAGUGGUAGAGUGCUCGCUUCGCAUCUUAGGUACUAGAAUUCCGAGAAAAGCCUGCGAGAAGUCCAGGGUUCAACUCCCUGCUCGUCCA